ACCCCCUGUGGCCUAAUGGAUAAGGCACUGACCUCCUAAGGCAGGGAUUGUGGGUUCGAGUCCCACCGGGGGUA
Molecule: transfer RNA, 74 nt
Filed under: Petromyzon marinus (sea lamprey)
Lineage: Eukaryota; Metazoa; Chordata; Hyperoartia; Petromyzontiformes; Petromyzontidae
Description: tRNA-Arg (CCT) (tRNA-Arg-CCT-21-1)
Rfam family: tRNA
About the family: Transfer RNA (tRNA) molecules are approximately 80 nucleotides in length. Their secondary structure includes four short double-helical elements and three loops (D, anti-codon, and T loops).
Source: RNAcentral